RNAcentral lists this ribosomal RNA (468 nucleotides) under uncultured bacterium. Its description in RNAcentral is "partial 16S ribosomal RNA". It matches the Rfam family "Bacterial small subunit ribosomal RNA", at positions 28 to 507 of the family's 1533-position model. The record is from RNAcentral.
GACGAACGCUGGCGGCGUGCUUAACACAUGCAAGUCGAACGGAAAGGCCCUGCUUUUGUGGGGUGCUCGAGUGGCGAACGGGUGAGUAACACGUGAGUAACCUGCCCUUGACUUUGGGAUAACUUCAGGAAACUGGGGCUAAUACCGGAUAGGAGCUCCUGCUGCAUGGUGGGGGUUGGAAAGUUUCGGCGGUUGGGGAUGGACUCGCGGCUUAUCAGCUUGUUGGUGGGGUAGUGGCUUACCAAGGCUUUGACGGGUAGCCGGCCUGAGAGGGUGACCGGGCACAUGGGGACUGAGAUACGGCCCAGCCGGCGGCAGGAGGCAGAAGUGGGGAAUAUUGCACGAUGGGCGGAGGCAGGAAGGAGCAGUGCGGCGUGCAGGAUGACGGCCUGCGGGUUGUAAACCGAGUGCCGCAGGGAGAAGGCGUGAGAGACGGGAAUGUGUGAAAAAGCACCGGCUAAAUACGUG